UGGCUGUGAUGACUGAUUACAUUUCUCGAUCCUGAUACAUUUGACUAAGUUAAGGACCAAAUUGAUGACUUUUUAUGCGUGUCUGAGCCAA
This is a small nucleolar RNA of Phoenix dactylifera (date palm), 91 nucleotides long. RefSeq annotates it as small nucleolar RNA snoR126. NCBI's taxonomy places the organism in Eukaryota, Viridiplantae, Streptophyta, Magnoliopsida, Arecales, Arecaceae. The record is from RefSeq and is a predicted model, not a curated record.